This 30-nucleotide non-coding RNA is filed under the name Rattus norvegicus (Norway rat). The record is from RNAcentral. Lineage: Eukaryota; Metazoa; Chordata; Mammalia; Rodentia; Muridae.
UAUGUUGCAGAUGUGCAGCUUGGUCUUCAC